This 254-nucleotide ribosomal RNA is filed under the name uncultured bacterium. RNAcentral describes it as "partial 16S ribosomal RNA". It matches the Rfam family "Bacterial small subunit ribosomal RNA", at positions 524 to 776 of the family's 1533-position model. The record is from RNAcentral.
UACGGGGGGAGCAAGCGUUGUUCGGAUUUACUGGGCGUAAAGGGCGCGUAGGCGGUCGUGACAAGUCACUUGUGAAAUCUCCGGGCUUAACUCGGAACGGUCAAGUGAUACUGUCGGACUAGAGUACAGAAGGGGCAACUGGAAUUCUCGGUGUAGCGGUGAAAUGCGUAGAUAUCAGGAGGAACACCGGUGGCGAAGGCGGUUCUCUGGGCAUGUUCUGACGCUGAGGAGCGAAAGUGUGGGGAGCGAACAGG